Molecule: ribosomal RNA, 274 nt
Filed under: uncultured bacterium
Lineage: Bacteria
Description: partial 16S ribosomal RNA
Rfam family: Bacterial small subunit ribosomal RNA
Source: RNAcentral
AUACGGAGGGUGCAAGCGUUGUUCGGAAUUACUGGGCGUAAAGCGCGUGCAGGCGGUAAGGUAAGUCAGAUGUGAAAGCCCCGGGCUCAACCCGGGAAGUGCAUUUGAUACUGCCUUUCUUGAGUAUGGGAGAGGAGAGUGGAAUUCCCAGUGUAGAGGUGAAAUUCGUAGAUAUUGGGAGGAACACCCGUGGCGAAGGCGACUCUCUGGACCAAUACUGACGCUGAGACGCGAAAGCGUGGGGAGCGAACAGGAGUAGAAACCCCAGUAGUCC